Pogona vitticeps (central bearded dragon) is the source of this 1834-nucleotide long non-coding RNA. NCBI's taxonomy places the organism in Eukaryota, Metazoa, Chordata, Lepidosauria, Squamata, Agamidae. The record is from Ensembl.
AUGUGCAUACUCCACAAGCAAGUAGGGAAGCAUGCUAGUCCCACAUUUCUCCAUCACUACUUGAAACAGACAAAAGUAACUGUCUGGACAGAAAGAGGCUGCCAUAUUUAUGUACACUGUAAACUGCCCCCCCUCCCCGGCUUAUGUGUAGAACCUACAUGGGACAUAGAACACAGAACUCGCCCCACUUCUAACUGUCAUGUGUUGAAAGCAAGGAUGGGGGAGCUAAACUCAACUUUUAUCAUGUGUAUUGUAUACAUGCUAUAUCAGGUUGGAAACAUAAUAACAUCAACCAUCAUAACAGAUUAUGACCAACUGAAUACUUUGUUCUACCUGACGCUGAAAACUUAAAAACGAAUGAUGGUGCGGCAAGUACGCCGGUACAGCAGAAAUGAGAGAGCACUUCGCCUGAGGCGAUUAAGACGAAGGAGGAAAAGUGCUAGAAGACUCAAUAGGAGGCAGAAGAGAGGUUUUAAAAAAAUUAUUAAUCGGAUUAUUGCAAAAGGCCCCCGAACAGUACAAUCUUAUGCACUUUUGAUCAAGAAUAAGGCCCAUUUGGUUCCCAUGUUCAUAUGUACAGGAUUGCAAAGGAGAAAUGCUGACAACAAAUCAUCCAGAGAAAAAACCUAAGGAGCAUUAUUUAAAAAUAAGAAGCAUCUUUUAGCCAUUAUGCACACAGCUGUAUGCAGUUAGGAUAUUAAUCAUUAUAUCUAGACAACAGUAUAUUUAUUGCUCACUGAAAGUAUCAGGGAAGUCAAUCUUUACUUAAAUUUUGUUCUCUUCAGUAAAAACAAUUAUAUUAUAGCAUCUUAGAGACAAAUACAUUUUGGAAGUGUGGCAUAAGCAAUCAUAGACUGCAACACACUUUAAUGGACAGCAAACUUGAGUUCCUUAACCUGAAUUCAACUCAAGAAAGUAUAGGCUGCAUGACAAAUUCCCCUUAAAAAACAUGUUUCUCAUAAUCUAAUCUUGCUUAUGUACAAGAGCAAAAAUUUUGGACCCUUCUGGGAAUUCUGAACUCUUUGUCUUGCUGGAAUUUGUUAUUCCCCUCACCUACAUGAACCCUAAAAUAGCACUGCUAUAAAAACCUUGCAAAGAAAAAGCAUACACAUAUCAUGUGAUUUCAAGUAUUCUGUAGACAUCUCACUGUGCAAGUAUCCUAAGAAAAAAAGAGAUCUAGGUUUGGAGAAGUUGGCACAAGCCGGGGGAAAGGGGCAUUUCCAGAAACACAUGUCCUUCAUGGAUCUCUCUGUAUUUGGUGGGGGCCCUCUGUAUCCCUCCUGAUGGGGCUGCACAGAAAUCCCCAUCUUUCUUUACCACCGGGUCUGUUGAUUAGGCUGAUGGGACUUGUAGUCCAACAGCAUCUAGAAGGCCACAAGUGACCCACCUCUGUCAUAAGCUACCUGAAGGUUGGGAGCAGGAAUGCUUAUUUGGUUCAGGCCACAGAAGGUCCUUUGUUGGAGCUUCUUUCUGGUCGCAAGUUGGUCAAAGUAAGAUUUUCAGUGCUUGGUAAAUCUCUGCUGAAAGGGACAGAAUUAUGAAAUGAGCUUAUAGUAUGGUGAUGGAGCAAGGGAAAGCAAACCAAAACUUGAGGUUUCAUUUCUUAUCUUUGUCUACAUUUAUUUUUUUCCUGUUGUUCCUUAAUACAGGCAGACGCCAAUCCCAUUACCGCAGGAGCUCAUUGUCACCCUAGCUACUUUCACUUCCUGAAGUAGGACAGCUGCGGCUCACAUAAACAAAUAUGUUGGGAGAUCAGGACCAUGGCAGAGAAACAUGACACAUCAAGCAGCUGCAAGCAUUAGUGCCAAGCAAUAAACCAUCUGAGUACCGCUCA